This 418-nucleotide ribosomal RNA is filed under the name uncultured eukaryote. RNAcentral describes it as "SSU rRNA". It matches the Rfam family "Eukaryotic small subunit ribosomal RNA", at positions 592 to 1017 of the family's 1831-position model. The record is from RNAcentral.
CAAUAGCGUAUAUUAAAGUUGUUGCAGUUAAAAAGCUCGUAGUUGGAUUUCGGGAUGGGCCAGUCGGUCUGCCGUAAGGUAUGUUACUGGCUGGUCUGUCCUUCUUCGCAAAGACUGCGUGUGCCCUUAAUUGUGUGUGCGUAGGAUUUGCGACGUUACUUUGAAAAAAUUAGAGUGUUCAAAGCAGGCUGACCGCUUGAAUACAUGAGCAUGGAAUAAUGGAAUAGGACUUUGGUUCUAUUUUGUUGGUUUCUAGAACUGAAGUAAUGAUAAUAGGGAUAGUUGGGGGCAUUAGUAUUUAAUUGUCAGAGGUGAAAUUCUUGGAUUUAUGGAAGAUAAACUACUGCGAAAGCAUUCGCCAAGGAUGUUUUCAUUAAUCAAGAACGAAAGUUGGGGGCUCGAAGAUGAUUAGAUACCA